Non-coding RNA from Coccinella septempunctata (seven-spotted ladybird), 79 nucleotides. The record is from the annotation of a RefSeq genome assembly. NCBI's taxonomy places the organism in Eukaryota, Metazoa, Arthropoda, Insecta, Coleoptera, Coccinellidae.
ACCCAGAGCUGGGUAGCUCAGUUGGAAGAGUACCUGAUCAGUAAUCAGGGGGUCGCAGGUUCGAAUCCUGCUCUGGGUG